Dendronephthya gigantea is the source of this 799-nucleotide long non-coding RNA. RefSeq lists it as uncharacterized. NCBI's taxonomy places the organism in Eukaryota, Metazoa, Cnidaria, Anthozoa, Malacalcyonacea, Nephtheidae. The transcript is spliced from 3 exons. The record is from RefSeq and is a predicted model, not a curated record.
UGUAUAGCAGAACCUGUUUCGUAUAUCAAGGACAAGGAUGUGCACCGAAUAAAGACUCAUCUCCAUAUAGUCAUAUACUGACCAGUGAUUAUUAAGUACGAGACAUUCAAAGAUCAUCAUCAUUCAGCAUAACAACAGGUAAAGACUAAGAGAGUCGUUUUCAAGAUAAACGUAAUUCUUAAGCAAGAAAAAGACCGUAUUCUGAACAAUGAAUUUUCUGCAUGCUUUUCGAAACCCACCGCGUCAAAUUGGGCAAAUACUUUCGAUGCAAAACAUCAAAGAUCUUGACCCCCGCCGCUGGUUGCCCCAGCGUCCUGCAAGCGUCAUACUAUAUUCUCCCUUGGAUCUUCCAGUUUGUCAGUCCAAUUCUUCUUCGAAUUUCAAGGCGGUUUAUGACUGGCUGAAGCAUUCGGAGUGUUUCAGUCUUAAGAAUGCGGUUGAUUACACAGAUGAACGGAUGACUCAAGAGAAGUCUAAAACAAUUGUCGAUGUGGCGUUUAACACUUUGCUCGAUUCAUUACGCCGUCAGAUUAGUCUAGCAAUAUCCUUAAUGGUUAUCAAACUCGAUAAAAAGGUAAUAAGAUCCGGUAUAUUAUAUUCUAAAAACUUGGCAUUAUACUGUUUACUUACGGGAUUUAAUGCAAUUUAUUAUAGAUAAUGUAUGACGCUGGUAAUCUUUUAAUAACAAUAAGAAUAAUUGUAAAUGUUAAUGUUAAUGGUAUUAAUUCAUUUGUGUUUUACAGUGUUUAUAACACUUUAUAAUAUAAGUAUGAUAUAACGAGCAAUUUGAUUGGCUACC